Molecule: ribosomal RNA, 465 nt
Filed under: uncultured bacterium
Lineage: Bacteria
Description: bacterial SSU rRNA
Rfam family: Bacterial small subunit ribosomal RNA
Source: RNAcentral
GACCAGACUCCUACGGGAGGCAGCAGUGAGGAAUAUUGGUCAAUGGACGCAAGUCUGAACCAGCCAUGCCGCGUGCAGGAAGACGGCUCUAUGAGUUGUAAACUGCUUUUGUACGAGGGUAAACGCAGAUACGUGUAUCUGUCUGAAAGUAUCGUACGAAUAAGGAUCGGCUAACUCCGUGCCAGCAGCCGCGGUAAUACGGAGGAUUCAAGCGUUAUCCGGAUUUAUUGGGUUUAAAGGGUGCGUAGGCGGAGUGUCAAGUCAGCGGUAAAAUUUCGGGGCUCAACCCCGUCGUGCCGUUGAAACUGACGCCCUUGAGUGAGUGAGAAGUAAGCGGAAUGCGUGGUGUAGCGGUGAAAUGCAUAGAUAUCACACAGAACACCGAUUGCGAAGGCAUCUCACGAAUCCGCGAUUGACGCUGAUGCACGAAAGCGUGGGUAUCAAACAGGAUUAGAUACCCGCGUA